GAUGAACGCUAGCUACAGGCUUAACACAUGCAAGUCGAGGGGAAACGAUAUUGGAAGCUUGCUUCCUAUAGGCGUCGACCGGCGCACGGGUGAGUAACGCGUAUCCAACCUGCCCACCACUUGGGGAUAACCUUUCGAAAGUAAGACUAAUACCCAAUGACGUCCAUAGAAGACAUCUGAAAUGGAUUAAAGAUUUAUCGGUGAUGGAUGGGGAUGCGUCUGAUUAGCUUGUUGGCGGGGUAACGGCCCACCAAGGCGACGAUCAGUAGGGGUUCUGAGAGGAAGGUCCCCCACAUUGAAACUGAGACACGGUCCAAACUCCUACGGGAGGCAGCAGUGAGGAAUAUUGGUCAAUGGGCGAGAGCCUGAACCAGCCAAGUAGCGUGCAGGAUGACGGCCCUAUGGGUUGUAAACUGCUUUUAUAAGGGAAUAAAGUGAGUCUCGUGAGACUUUUUGCAUGUACCUUAUGAAUAAGGACCGGCUAAUUCCGUGCCAGCCGCCGCAGUAA
RNAcentral lists this ribosomal RNA (508 nucleotides) under uncultured bacterium. Its description in RNAcentral is "partial 16S ribosomal RNA". It matches the Rfam family "Bacterial small subunit ribosomal RNA", at positions 28 to 523 of the family's 1533-position model. The record is from RNAcentral.